This 497-nucleotide ribosomal RNA is filed under the name uncultured bacterium. RNAcentral describes it as "partial 16S ribosomal RNA". It matches the Rfam family "Bacterial small subunit ribosomal RNA", at positions 28 to 507 of the family's 1533-position model. The record is from RNAcentral.
GAUGAACGUUGGCGGAGGGCGGAAUACAGGCAAGUCGAGCGAACAGACGAGGAGCUUGCUCCUCUGACGUUAGCGGCGGACGGGUGAGUAACACGUGGAUAACCUACCUAUAAGACUGGGAUAACUUCGGGAAACCGGAGCUAAUACCGGAUAAUAUAUUGAACCGCAUGGUUCAAUAGUGAAAGACGGUUUUGCUGUCACUUAUAGAUGGAUCCGCGCCGCAUUAGCUAGUUGGUAAGGUAACGGCUUACCAAGGCAACGAUGCGUAGCCGACCUGAGAGGGUGAUCGGCCACACUGGAACUGAGACACGGUCCAGACUCCUACGGGAGGCAGCAGUAGGGAAUCUUCCGCAAUGGGCGAAAGCCUGACGGAGCAACGCCGCGUGAGUGAUGAAGGUCUUCGGAUCGUAAAACUCUGUUAUUAGGGAAGAACAAAUGUGUAAGUAACUAUGCACGUCUUGACGGUACCUAAUCAGAAAGCCACGGCUAACUACGUG